UGCCCACACCCCCCGUGACUCACAGAGGACCCUGCGCACACCGCUCAGGACUCACAGAGGACCCUGCACACACCACAUGAGACUCACAGAGGACCCUGCCCACACCGCGCGUAGGCCUGAAGAGAAUAUACUACCUUAUGCCAGCUGCGCCCCACAAAGCAGAUACAAUAAACAGACAGCGUGUCUUUAGAAUGAUCGCCUGACUCCCAACUCUCUCCACAGCAGCAAGAAAAGCCAGCAAGCCUCGAGGGACGAAGAGGGAGUCUCGCUGACGUGGAAACAGGGAGUGUGUUUGUGGAUCUCGGCCACGGCUGGGGGUCUCCAGCGUUAGAAGACGUCUGCCUAGUGUGGCAGUGGCGUUGAGCCUGUGCCUUAUUCAGAAACCACCCUUCGUGGAUUUUCCUGAGGUUGGAAGCCGAGGCCCCCCAGCCUGACCUCCUGACCCGGAGCACGAGGGAGCCGAGGGCCCCCCGGGAAGGCUCCUGCCACACAGAGAGAGCCCGGAUCUUGCAGGGAGCUAAACGCCAGUCUACACAGGAAGCAGAAAAGACAAGAAAACACCACAAAGAUCCAUCAGCAAUUUCCAGAAUGGAGAAGAAUAACCAGGAACCAAGUGUCUUCAACAGAAACCUCUUUUAAAGGGGUGGGAAGGCCCUGCGGAUGAAGGGACAUGCCCCCCCCCACGCUCCGUAGGGGACAAGUUCGCAGUCCCGCACAAGCGCAUCCAGCACAGAGGCCCGUCGAACGCCAGGGGCAGCAGACGCGGGCCGCCGUUGGUGACACCGGGACAGCACCGCUGAGUGCUGUGGACGCAGUGACAGAUCGUGGUGGUGGCAGAAAGGACGGAUUUACGGGCAGGGAAGGGUCCACCAGCGUCCAUGUGUUCUGUGCUCCCUGUCAACGCGCAGGACGCCCUGGGGUCCCCUGGCCGCCCGACACCAGGAAGGAAGGAGAUCCGCCCAGCAGACACCGGCCCCCCCCACACGGCCCUUCCCCCGCAGCGACGGGAAGUCAAGGCUGCCGAUGUGGGGGCACCGGCGACACCCAGACAGAGGACAGGACUGCCUUAGCCGGGCGCCCGAGGGCCUGAUGGCCCCAGACAGGCGGCCCACAGAGCCCGGCAAGGGUGAGCGCUCCAGGGGACAGAGGGCAGGGACAAGGGGGAGGAAAACGGAGAGCAGGAAGGUCAAGAUGGAAAGCGCGGCGCCGUGACAAAUAUAUUUUAAUGAGUUCA
This is a long non-coding RNA of Suricata suricatta (meerkat), 1234 nucleotides long. RefSeq lists it as uncharacterized. The record is from RefSeq and is a predicted model, not a curated record. NCBI's taxonomy places the organism in Eukaryota, Metazoa, Chordata, Mammalia, Carnivora, Herpestidae. The transcript is spliced from 2 exons.